CCUGGGUAUGGACGAAAUGGACUCCACAGGCCGAUGUCCACAGACUUUGGUCAGUACAACAGUUAUGGAGACGUGAGCAAUGCAACUCGCGAUUACCAGGUUGGUAAAGAUUUUCGUCCAUCAAGUUAACAGAAACAAAUUCAUCAACAGUGCAUCAACUAUGUUAAUCACGUCUUAGAAGAAUUUCUUAAAAGUUGUUAAGCUGCUUGUUUUAUUAUUAAUGAUAUAACUAUGACACUAGGGGAAAGAGUGUCUUACUGUCAGUACAGCAAACAUUUCUAAGAUUGUCAAAGGAGCAAUGAGUGAUAGUUCUCUCAUUGAUAGAUUUUUCCUAACUAUAAUACUAUACAACGAAAGUCCAAAUAUAAAUCUGCUUAUUCUGUUGUUAUAUCUUUGCUCUUCUUCUCGAGAUGGUUUCCUAUCUUUUUUAUAUUUUAUUGUGGCCAUGGAAUAAAAAUAUGCCAAUGUAUUUUAUAUAAAACAGGCAUGUGGGCUGUAUAAAAUGGCCAAGUAAAAAUGUAGUGUUAUUUUUUAAAUAUAACCCUUCUCUUUACAUGUUUGAAUAUUACUAUGUUAUGGAAAUCUCAAUAUAUUGAUUAUAGAAAAGACUUUAUUGAUGUAGAAGGAAUUAAAAAUUUUACUUGUUAAAAUGGAUAAAAUGCUUUGGUACAACUGGAAAGCAACCAAAUAUUGUAAAGAUGAUAGCAAGAACCAAAACAAUGAAUCACUCUGAGGGACAGUUUUCCUACCAUUCCAUUCCCUGAAUAAUGGUGUAUAAAUAUUCUAGAUACCGUGUUUCCCAGAAAAUAAGUCUUAU
Molecule: non-coding RNA, 817 nt
Organism: Thamnophis sirtalis
Lineage: Eukaryota; Metazoa; Chordata; Lepidosauria; Squamata; Natricidae
Source: RefSeq, a predicted model, not a curated record